This is an RNA transcript of Morus notabilis, 1255 nucleotides long. It is a transcript of the gene named succinate dehydrogenase [ubiquinone] iron-sulfur subunit 2, mitochondrial, with no coding region annotated. The record is from RefSeq and is a predicted model, not a curated record. The transcript is spliced from 4 exons. NCBI's taxonomy places the organism in Eukaryota, Viridiplantae, Streptophyta, Magnoliopsida, Rosales, Moraceae.
UUGGCUGUCCUGCACUUUCUCUCUCCAUCACUUUCUCUCUCUUGCUCUGAAGGUUUCGGCAAUGGCGACCGGCAUAUUGAGAAGAGCCAUUUCUAGGGUUUCGUCCACGCAGGCAUCGAAGUUCGUUCCUUUGCGAUUCUUGGCUUCAGAAGCGGAGGCUCAGCAAGUGGAGCCCAAGGCCCAAGGGAGCACGAACCUCAAGACCUUCUCAAUCUACCGAUGGAACCCCGACAAAUCGGGGAAGCCGGAGCUUCAGAACUACCAGAUAGACCUCAAAGAGUGUGGACCCAUGGUCCUCGACGCUCUGAUCAAGAUCAAGAACGAGAUCGAUCCGACGCUCACGUUCCGGCGCUCUUGUAGGGAAGGGAUCUGCGGGUCCUGCGCGAUGAACAUCGACGGCUGUAACGGCCUUGCGUGCCUGACGAAGAUUCCCUCGGGAUCGUCCACGAUGAUCACGCCGUUGCCGCACAUGUACGUGAUCAAGGAUUUGGUGGUGGACAUGACCAAUUUCUAUAACCAGUAUAAGAGCAUAGAGCCGUGGCUGAAAAGGAAGAGCCCGCCGUCGGUGCCGGGGAAGGAGGUUCUGCAGAGCAAGAAGGAUAGGGCCAAGCUCGAUGGGAUGUACGAGUGCAUCCUCUGCGCCUGCUGCAGCACAUCCUGCCCAAGCUACUGGUGGAAUCCUGAGUCCUAUUUGGGACCCGCUGCUUUGCUCCAUGCCAAUCGGUGGAUUAUGGACAGUCGUGAUGAAUAUACAGAGGAGCGAUUGGAAUCGAUCAAUGAUGAGUUCAAGCUCUACCGUUGCCAUACCAUAUUGAACUGUGCAAGUGCAUGCCCAAAGGGCUUGAACCCUGGAAGGCAGAUUCAGAACAUUAAGAAGCUUCAGCCAUCUAAGGGCCACUAAGUUGAAUACUUGUGAAGCUUGGGUGCAACAAUGAGUGCGACACAGCUUGCUGCAAUUGCGACAUUAAGAAACAGCCACCGCUUUGUGUGCAAUGCUGUCUGGACGAGCCUUGACUUGAAGGUAAAAGACCAAUGUUGUACAAGAAACGCAGCUAGCACUUCAAAUGGAUUUGAAGUCACUUGGACAACUUGUUCAACCGUCAUUAGUUACUACAGUCCAGAAAAUUAGUUGUUCAAGUUUAGACGUUUUCGUUCAAAGUAUUCAACUAUUGUAUUUGUUCAUAUCAUGUCCUAAUGUCAUUUGGAUUUCCUUUCCCCUGAACAAUUGUAUUUGUGAACGAAGCCUAGGAAAAGC